AGCUGCUGGGUCUUGAACUCAGAAAUCUGUAUGCCUCGUUCUCCUGAGUGCUGGCAUUAAAAGCAUGCACCAUCACCUAAACUUUUCUUUCCACGAGAUGAACUUGCUGGCU
RNAcentral lists this ribosomal RNA (112 nucleotides) under uncultured bacterium. RNAcentral's name for it is "partial 16S ribosomal RNA". The record is from RNAcentral.